This is an RNA transcript of Daucus carota subsp. sativus, 3644 nucleotides long. It is a transcript of the gene named F-box/LRR-repeat protein 4, with no coding region annotated. The record is from RefSeq and is a predicted model, not a curated record. The transcript has 6 exons. NCBI's taxonomy places the organism in Eukaryota, Viridiplantae, Streptophyta, Magnoliopsida, Apiales, Apiaceae.
AUGAAGUUUGGCGGCAAAAGAAAAUCUCUCUCUCUCUCUCAAGUCUCAAGCAGUCUCUUUCUCUCUCUAAAAUUACAUGCAUGCCGACAACAGUAGGUGAGUUUCUUUGCUGGAUAUUUCAAAUCCAAUUCAUCUCUGCGACGUCAAUGACGUUUUCAUAUCGUCACUAUUCUACCACAUUAAUACUGCUUCAACUACUUGUGUUAUUCUUAAUCUUGUACUCUUAUAAAACCCUUUUUGCUUUUAAUAAAAUACGGCUCAAUCUUGCCGAGUUUUUUAUUUUUUUUCGAAAAGGGUUGUCAAGAAUUCUUAUUCUUGUUCAUAAGGGUUUGUCAAGAUUUGAUCUUUUUGAGUUUUUGAGUGUUGGGUGAGUUGGGUUUUGUGGUAAAGGUGUGAUCUUUAGGGUUUGUGAUUGGGGGUUUGAGAAAGAUGGACGGUUUGGAUGGGGGAAAGAAGGGGGCUGAUGAAAUUGGGGGCGGUUUUGAUGGUGGGGUUGGUAAAAGAUUGGAUUUUGAUGGUGUGAGUGCGCAAAAGAGGGGGUUUAGUGAAACUGGGGGUGAUGCUGAUUGUGGGGUUUGUGAAAGAUGGGGUUUUGAUGGUGAAAGAUUGGAUUUUGAUGGUGGAGUUUCUGAGAGAUUGAAAAUUGACGGCGGGGUUGGGGAAAAAUUGGAUUUCGUUGGUGAGAACUCGGGUGGCUUCAGUGAGAAGAAGAAGGGGGUUGAUGGAAUUGGGGGUGGUUUGGAUGGCGGGGUUUGUGAAGGAGUGGAUUUUGAUUGUUCGAAUUCGGGUGGGUUGAAUGGGAAAAAUAAGGGGGUUGAUGGAAUUGGGGGUUGUUUGGAUGGGAGGGUUUGUGAAAAUUUGGAUUAUGAUGGUUUGAAUUUGGGUGCUUUGAGUGGGAAAAGGAGGGUGGUUGAUGAAAUUGAGGGUGGUUUGGACGGUGGUGUGUGUGAAAAAUCUGAUCUUGCUGGAGGGGUCUGUGAAGAACUGGAUUUUGAGACUUCAAAUGCGGGUAAUUUGACGGGGAGAAAGAGGGGGAUUGAUGAGUGUGGGGGUGAGGUUGAUCAGGUUGCUGGUGAAAGUGCGGCUGGUGGUAGCCGAUACACCGGAGUGGACAAGGGAAAGGGAAAAGAAAUACAACCUUCGAUUUCCUCCGAUGAAGAACUCGAGUUGGUGCAACAUUUGGAGUAUUUUAUGAAUUCUGAUCCAGCACCUGAUUUGCAGCCACCUGAAAUAUUUCAGCAGAAUGAAGUUGGAGUUCGGGAGUUAGAUUAUUUAAACCAACAACAAGAUGCUGUAUUAGGUUUCCAGAGAGAACAGGAUUACAGAGAACCAGAGGUAAGAAAUGAAGAGUUGGCAAGGAUUGUCGAGGACGAUAUACAAUGGCUUGAAGAUAGAAAACGUGCUCGUCGUCAAUUUGCACUUCGAUUUGCACGUCCUUCAGGAGAGGAUUGGGAUGGAGAGUCUUCAGCUAGUAAUCCGAAUGUUCCGUCAACUGCACGGAACAUGAAGCAGAGUGAUCAUCCAUUGAUUAGAUGGAAACCUUUGGAAAAUGAUGAUAAUAUCCCACGGCGUUUUGUCCCUUCACUGCUUGAUCUCUCUUUAACUGUCCUUGCUAGUAAUGCUGACAUGAUUUUGUCUCUCAAAGGAGUCCCUGACACAUUAAAGAAAAGACUCUGCAAUCUGGUGUGUGAUUCCAGGAAAAUGAAUGCCAGGGUUCUGGAUCUCUUUAUAAGAGAUUCUCCAGAAGAAAUUCGUGUGAAAGACGCAUCCUGGAUUACAGGGGACCAAUUUAAAAAGUCAUUUGGGAGUUUCAACUUUAAAAAUUUGAAGGUUUUCCAAUUUGACCUCUGCGGGCGAUGCAUCUCUGAUGAAGUAAUAGCUGCAACCCUAGCUCGGCCUUUAAGUAGCUUGCCUGGUCUGGGUAUCAUAUCCCUGAGGGGUGCAUGUCAUCUAUCAGACGAGGCCUUGAAAGUCCUUGUUACGUUGGCACCUGGACUAUGUUCUAUAAAUUUGGGCGAGUGUUCCCUCCUCACCCACAUUGGCAUAAAUUAUAUAGCAGAUGUUCUCGGAAACUGUUUGAGGGAGCUGAUGAUAGAUUAUUGCUACAGAAUAGAUGCUAAAGAUCUAGUUUCAGCACUCAAGAAGUUUAAAUAUUUGGAAGUUUUAUCAGUAGCAGGGAUUCCAAAUUUAUGUGAUGGUAUUUUAACUGACAUUAUCACUGCGAGUGGCAGAAAUAUUAGGGAUCUUGAUCUCACAGAUUGCGAGAGGUUGACUGACUCUUCUUUGAAGAUCAUUGGUCAAACUUGUUCGGACUUACGUGCCCUUAAUAUUGUUAACCUGCAAAACUUAACUGAUGUAGGAUUAUCUUAUCUUGCCAAUGGUUGUCAAUCAAUUCGAAGCCUCAAACUUGGUCGCAAUAAAUUCAGUGAUGAAGCUAUUGCUAAAUUCAUUGAGAUAGCAGGAAGGUUGCUAGAGGAACUCUCACUGAAUCAUGUUAGCCAGCAACUGCAUCCUAUACAGAGGUGGCCCUGAAGUUGUAAUAAUACUACGAUACUUGUCCGCUGCUACUUUUUAUUUUACCAAAACUAGGAUGUUAUCAAAACAUAUUUCAGCUAAAGUUUUUGAAUUCCUAAUUCCUGUAUAAAAAGUUCUUAAACUUUUUGAUAUAUGUUUUAGUGUUAUGUUUAUUGCAAUUUGCAAAUACUAAUGUUCUAUGCAAUUAUAUACUGAAUUUAUUCAAAUAUUUGGAUAUGUUAAAACAUAAGUUGCACUAAAAUAACAACAAAAUACAGUGCUAAACAAAUUCUGAUCACUUUAUACUUUAUAGACACUAAAAUAACAACAAAAUACAGUGCUAAACAAAUUCUGAUCACUUUAUAGACGGUACAGAGUUGUACAUAUUAACGGGCACUUUAGAUUUGUUAAAACUGAAUUUUGUAAAGUCCUUUUUAUGGUCAAAUAAUUUUUAACAGAAAUAAAAUUAGGAAUACCAGGUGUUGUAUAUACAUGAAAGUCAAAGUCAUCAUAUUUUUCAGGUGAUCUUUUUGAUCUUAACUAAUAUUUGUAUAGUCAGGAAUCUUAUGUAGCUAGGAGAGCUUUGGUAAUUACAACAAGGAUAUCUUCUGUAAUUACUACAGAGAUUCCCCUCGUUUCGUGUGUAUAGAGGCAAAUCCAAGGGAAUUACACCUAUUUUGGCAUGGGGAUGAGAGUCAUAUAUCCUGCCCUAAUUUUCUUUCUUCUACAGAAGUUCUCAAUCAGAAUCUCUCUCAUUCUGUUUCUGCUGUUUUCACCAUCCAUUUUCUCUUUUGUGAACACUCCUGAAUAACAAAAUUCUGCAACAUUACACCCUUCCCCUCUGCCAUCUUCCCUUCACCCUGCACAACCUGGCAGCAACAUCAGGACACGGAAGGUUCAAUACCACUCUUGGACAGCUUUUUUAGGUUGCUGCAUGUGCUCACUGUGUCAUCAAUCAUAUUGAUGUUACAAAUUUUGGUACCAUGCUAAGUAAGGCCAAGUUGGCCCCUUAACUGCGCUCUCACUUGCCAAAUUCUCGCAAAAGCUGUUGAGUUUGGAUCUCUCAUGGUGUCGUAAAGUAACAGAUGAGGAGCUGGGAUUGAUUGUGGACAGCUGCUGGUCACUGAAGC